GAGUAACACGUGAGUAACCCUCCCUUGACUCUGGGAUAAGCCCGGGAAACUGGGUCUAAUACCGGAUAUGACCUCCUGUCGCAUGGUGGGGGGUGGAAAGAUUUAUCGGUCUUGGAUGGACUCGCGGCCUAUCAGCUUGUUGGUGAGGUAAUGGCUCACCAAGGCGACGACGGGUAGCCGGCCUGAGAGGGUGACCGGCCACACUGGGACUGAGACACGGCCCAGACUCCUACGGGAGGCAGCAGUGGGGAAUAUUGCACAAUGGGCGCAAGCCUGAUGCAGCGACGCCGCGUGAGGGAUGACGGCCUUCGGGUUGUAAACCUCUUUCAGUAGGGAAGAAGCCUUCGGGUGACGGUACCUGCAGAAGAAGCGCCGGCUAACUACGUGCCAGCAGCCGCGGUAAUACGUAGGGCGCGAGCGUUAUCCGGAAUUAUUGGGCGUAAAGAGCUCGUAGGCGGUUUGUCGCGUCUGCCGUGAAAGUCCGGGGCUUAACCCCGGAUCUGCGGUGGGUACGGGCAGACUAGAGUGCAGUAGGGGAGACCGGAAUUCCUGGUGUAGCGGUGAAAUGCGCAGAUAUCAGGAGGAACACCGAUGGCGAAGGCAGGUCUCUGGGCUGUUACUGACGCUGAGGAGCGAAAGCAUGGGGAGCGAACAGGAUUAGAUACCCUGGUAGUCCAUGCCGUAAACGUUGGGCACUAGGUGUGGGGGACAUUCCACGUUUUCCGCGCCGCAGCUAACGCAUUAAGUGCCCCGCCUGGGGAGUACGGCCGCAAGGCUAAAACUCAAAGGAAUUGACGGGGGCCCGCACAAGCGGCGGAGCAUGCGGAUUAAUUCGAUGCAACGCGAAGAACCUUACCAAGGCUUGACAUGUUCUCGAUCGCCACAGAGAUGUGGUUUCCCCUUUGGGGCGGGUUCACAGGUGGUGCAUGGUUGUCGUCAGCUCGUGUCGUGAGAUGUUGGGUUAAGUCCCGCAACGAGCGCAACCCUCGUUCCAUGUUGCCAGCGGGUUAUGCCGGGGACUCAUGGGAGACUGCCGGGGUCAACUCGGAGGAAGGUGGGGACGACGUCAAAUCAUCAUGCCCCUUAUGUCUUGGGCUUCACGCAUGCUACAAUGGCCGGUACAAUGGGUUGCGAUACUGUGGGGUGGAGCUAAUCCCAAAAAGCCGGUCUCAGUUCGGAUUGGGGUCUGCAACUCGACCCCAUGAAGUCGGAGUCGCUAGUAAUCGCAGAUCAGCAACGCUGCGGUGAAUACGUUCCCGGGCCUUGUACACACCGCCCGUCAAGUCACGAAAGUCGGUAACAC
Molecule: ribosomal RNA, 1303 nt
Filed under: uncultured Micrococcus sp.
Lineage: Bacteria; Bacillati; Actinomycetota; Actinomycetes; Micrococcales; Micrococcaceae
Description: bacterial SSU rRNA
Rfam family: Bacterial small subunit ribosomal RNA
Source: RNAcentral